ACUCAAAUGAAUUGACGGGGGCCCGCACAAGCAGUGGAGCAUGUGGUUCAAUUCGAUGCAACGCGAAGAACCUUACCUGGGUUUGAAAGGCAAGUGACAACCGAUGAAAGUCGGUCUUGUAGCAAUACACACUUGUACAGGUGCUGCAUGGCUGUCGUCAGCUCGUGCCGUGAGGUGUUAGGUUAAGUCCUGCAACGAGCGCAACCCCUGCACUUAGUUGCCAUCAGGUCAAGCUGGGCACUCUAAGUGGACUGCCUGCGCAAGCAGCGAGGAAGGCGGGGAUGACGUCAAGUCCUCAUGGCCCUUACACCCAGGGCCACACACGUGCUACAAUGGCCGCUACAACGGGCAGCGAACGCGUAAGCGGGAGCCAAUCCCUGAAAAGCGGCCUCAGUUCGGAUUGAGGGCUGCAACUCGCCCUCAUGAAGCUGGAAUUGCUAGUAAUCGCGGAUCAGCACGCCGCGGUGAAUACGUUCCCGGGCCUUGUACACACCGCCCGU
RNAcentral lists this ribosomal RNA (500 nucleotides) under uncultured bacterium. RNAcentral's name for it is "partial 16S ribosomal RNA". It matches the Rfam family "Bacterial small subunit ribosomal RNA", at positions 899 to 1397 of the family's 1533-position model. The record is from RNAcentral.